This 239-nucleotide ribosomal RNA is filed under the name uncultured bacterium. RNAcentral's name for it is "partial 16S ribosomal RNA". It matches the Rfam family "Bacterial small subunit ribosomal RNA", at positions 1264 to 1500 of the family's 1533-position model. The record is from RNAcentral.
GGAGCAAAACUCAAAAACUUAGUCUCAGUUCGGAUUGUAGGCUGAAACUCGCCUACAUGAAGCUGGAGUUGCUAGUAAUCGCGAAUCAGCAUGUCGCGGUGAAUACGUUCCCGGGCCUUGUACACACCGCCCGUCACACCAUGAGAGUUGGCAAUACCCAACGUACGUGAUCUAACCCGCAAGGGAGGAAGCGUCCUAAGGUAGGGUCAGCGAUUGGGGUGAAGUCGUAACAAGGUAAC